UCAGAGCCCUUAGAAGCUUUGUAGGUGUGGAUGAAGUGUCAUGUGUGCUUCUACGGGUGACAGAGAGGAGAGAGGAUAAGUCUACACUCUCUCUGCUGACCUGCGAACAGCUGAAUGAUAAGCAGCUUGCAUU
Molecule: small nucleolar RNA, 133 nt
Organism: Mastomys coucha (southern multimammate mouse)
Lineage: Eukaryota; Metazoa; Chordata; Mammalia; Rodentia; Muridae
Product: small nucleolar RNA SNORA17
Exons: 1
Source: RefSeq, a predicted model, not a curated record